RNAcentral lists this ribosomal RNA (301 nucleotides) under uncultured bacterium. RNAcentral's name for it is "partial 16S ribosomal RNA". It matches the Rfam family "Bacterial small subunit ribosomal RNA", at positions 509 to 809 of the family's 1533-position model. The record is from RNAcentral.
CAGCAGCCGCGGGAAUACGAAGGGGGCUAGCGUUGUUCGGAUUUACUGGGCGUAAAGCGCACGUAGGCGGACUUUUAAGUCAGGGGUGAAAUCCCGGGGCUCAACCCCGGAACUGCCUUUGAUACUGGGAGUCUUGAGUUCGAUAGAGGUGAGUGGAAUUGCGAGUGUAGAGGUGAAAUUCGUAGAUAUUCGCAGGAACACCAGUGGCGAAGGCGGCUCACUGGCUCGAUACUGACGCUGAGGUGCGAAAGCGUGGGAAGCAAACAGGAUUAGAUACCCCAGUAGUCCUGUCUCUUAUACA